RNAcentral lists this ribosomal RNA (253 nucleotides) under uncultured prokaryote. RNAcentral describes it as "partial 16S ribosomal RNA". It matches the Rfam family "Bacterial small subunit ribosomal RNA", at positions 524 to 776 of the family's 1533-position model. The record is from RNAcentral.
GACAGAGGGGGCAAGCGUUGCUCGGAAUCACUGGGCGUAAAGGGCGCGUAGGCGGGUCAGGAAGUCGGUCGUGAAAUCUCCGGGCUCAACCUGGGAACUGCAUUCAAAACUGACAAGCUAGAGUAUGGUAGGGGGUGGUGGAAUUUCCUGUGUAGCGGUGAAAUGCGUAGAUAUAGGAAGGAACACCAGUGGCGAAGGCGACCACCUGGACUGAUACUGACACUGAGGUGCGAAAGCGUGGGGAGCAAACAGG